RNAcentral lists this ribosomal RNA (459 nucleotides) under Acanthamoeba jacobsi. RNAcentral describes it as "SSU rRNA". It matches the Rfam family "Eukaryotic small subunit ribosomal RNA", at positions 742 to 1095 of the family's 1831-position model. The record is from RNAcentral. Lineage: Eukaryota; Discosea; Longamoebia; Acanthamoebidae.
CCCAGAUCGUUUACCGUGAAAAAAUUAGAGUGUUCAAAGCAGGCAGACCAUUUCUUCUGCCACCGAAUACAUUAGCAUGGGAUAAUGGAAUAGGACCCUGUCCUCCUAUUUUGCGUGUUGGUUUUCGAGGACCGGGUAAUGAUUAAUAGGGAUAGUUGGGGGCAUUAAUAUUUAAUUGUCAGAGGUGAAAUUCUUGGAUUUAUGAAAGAUUGACUUCUGCGAAAGCAUCUGCCAAGGAUGUUUUCAUUAAUCAAGAACGAAAGUUAGGGGAUCGAAGACGAUCAGAUACCGUCGUAGUCUUAACCAUAAACGAUGCCGACCAGCGAUUAGGAGACGUUGAAUACAAAACACCACCGUCGGGUCGGCCGUCCUUGGCCGUCGUGCGCCGCGACGCGCGCGGCGGCGAGGGCGGUGUCUGCCCGACGGCCCGGUGAAUGACUCCCCUAGCAGCUUGUGAGA